This 45-nucleotide non-coding RNA is filed under the name Trichobilharzia regenti. The record is from RNAcentral. Lineage: Eukaryota; Metazoa; Platyhelminthes; Trematoda; Strigeidida; Schistosomatidae.
AUCCAGAUGACAAGUCCCAGAUAGGACGAAAUGCACAUCAUGGAU